GACGAACCGUCCAAACGUUAUUCGGAUUUACUGGGCUUAAAGGGUGCGUAGGCGGCGCGGAAAGUUGGGUGUGAAAUCCCUCGGCUCAACCGAGGAACUGCGCCCAAAACUACCGUGCUGGAGGGAGAUAGAGGUGAGCGGAACUUAGGGUGGAGCGGUGAAAUGCGUUGAUAUCCUAAGGAACACCGGUGGCGAAAGCGGCUCACUGGAUCUCUUCUGACGCUGAGGCACGAAAGCUAGGGGAGCGAACGGG
RNAcentral lists this ribosomal RNA (253 nucleotides) under uncultured bacterium. Its description in RNAcentral is "partial 16S ribosomal RNA". It matches the Rfam family "Bacterial small subunit ribosomal RNA", at positions 524 to 776 of the family's 1533-position model. The record is from RNAcentral.